RNAcentral lists this long non-coding RNA (2097 nucleotides) under Jatropha curcas. Its description in RNAcentral is "long non-coding RNA (JCUR_LNC001563)". Lineage: Eukaryota; Viridiplantae; Streptophyta; Magnoliopsida; Malpighiales; Euphorbiaceae. The record is from RNAcentral.
GAAAAUAAAUUUUCAUAGAUUUUACAUUUAAAAAUUUAAUUGUAAAUCCUAACCAAUGAAAUUAUAUAAUAAAAUUUAAAAUAAAAUAUUAUAUUAUAGUUAAAUUGGACCCGUAAACCCAUUUGAAUCUCCAAAUCCGGAUGAAAAACCUGUAAACCAUAGGUAAAUCGGACUAAACCUUUGAUUUGGACCAAAUCUGGUUCAGAUUGAACCGAAUUACCCUAGAAAGACCUAGAAGUUUUUUUUUUUUUCUUUUCUUCUUUCUUCCUCUCAUUCUAGCGGCAACCUACCUUCCCCUCUCUCCUUCAUUCUUUCUAACCAAACUCCAUGUAGGGGAGUGAUUCAAAGCUUGAAGAUCAUCUACACAUUACAGAAAUUUGGAUUCGAGCGUUAGUUUGUGUGAUUCGAGUUCGAAUUGAUAAAGAAUCGAGAUUAAGACCUUACUCAUGGUGCAGUUCCGACCUCCAGCAAUUUCACGCCGUUUCGGAUGGUACCAGUGUUGAGAGCGGGCAUCGGUCGGUCUUUUUCAUCCCUAUGAGCAAUUACCCUCUAAAAAUUACAAGGUUCGUGGCCGAUUUGUGAAACCACCAUGAACGCCGAUUCUAGGCUCCUAUCGAGCUUGUUCCUACCAACUAGAGUGCCGAUAUCGCCCAACCAACACCAAAUAUGGACUCUUUAAUGAAAUUUGAGCCUGCUGGUGUGAAGAACGUUCGAUUCCAAGCAACCACGACUUUCUGACCACCAUAGACGGCGGCGCCGGCGAGUAUUUGGCGAGACUCUUGGAGGCAGAAAUUUGAAAAUUAUGCACUGAACUUGAAAUCGAAAUUCAAUUUUUAAUCGGUACAAUUUAAGAUUCAGUUUAUUAAAUUAAUGUAAAUUUCAAGUUUAGAAAUUAUUAUUAUUGAGUUAAAAUUAGUUUUGAUUAAAAUAAUUGAGGAUUAAGAAUAAAAUAAGGGUUCUAAUAAAUUGAAGCAAGCUAUAAUUGCUGCCAUAAAAAUAAUUGAGAAAUUUGAUAAAUAUGGAUUUUACAUAAAUUAAGCAAAGCAUAUAAAUUAAAAUGCCUGGUUAUGAAGAAUGUAAUUAUAUUAGUUUUUUAAUUUAGAUUGAAUUAAAAAUUGAUAAGAGUUAAGGACCAAAUGAGAAAUAAAUUGAUUACUUAGUGCUACAUGAGUUAUCGGGAGACUGAAAAUAAUUUAAAUAAAAGGGAACCUACUGAUGGUAAGUUAAUAGAAGUUACUAAUUUUAAGAGACUAAUCUAGAAUGACAUACGGGGAUAUAUUAGGGAUAUAUUAAGAUCAAAUUGAAUGAUUUUUUUGAAUCGAAAGCUAAGAGUUGAAUACAAAAUUAUUUGUGAUGAUUGGUAUUUGGAUUAUUAAUUGCCCGAUAGAUGGGCUAUGAGAGUAAUAAUCGAUAAGUGUAUUAAGUAGUUAAUGUUUAAGUAGAUAUACAUGAAAUUAAUUCUUUAAUUUCUUAUUUAAGGAAAAUCAUCUGUUUAAUGCGGUCUUUCCUUUAUAUUUGUAUUUUAUCUAGAUCGUCCGAGUUUGUCUACUGCUCCUGCUAAUCAAAAUUCAAGCUAAAGUUUGCUCUAUCUGUUAUCACUAUGAGUAAUAAUAAAUGAUGCAUACCAUCAUUUGCAUACAUGCAUUGACCAUCUCGCAUCUUAUAAUUAUAUAUACAAAUGAUACUUGGUCUUCAUUAUUUUAAUUCUAUAUUAUCAAAGUAACAUUAUUUACAUGAUAAUCAUUGUAUAAAUUAUAAUAUUACAAGCAUAUGAGAAUCCUAUUGAUACGGAUUCGCCGAUACUCAACCAUGGAGCUCAAGGGAAUAUGGGAUAUAACAUGGGAGAUCCAUUGGUGCUUCCUAAAGGGCUAAUUACAAGAAGUCAUGCAAAGAGAUAUGGGCAGCCAUGUUCUUAUAUUCAAGUCCAAAUCACACGAGCAUCAUGAUGAAGCAUUUAACAAGUGUUUUGUGGAACUUGAAGACAUUCCUAGGCUUCUAAUGUUGUUGGUGGCAUGUGAAGUUGAAAUGGAGGAAAGCACGCCUGCUACAGUGCCCAUGCCAAUUAGUUUGACUUUGCUACAGUAAAUUUGACUUNNN